Molecule: long non-coding RNA, 415 nt
Organism: Eucalyptus grandis
Lineage: Eukaryota; Viridiplantae; Streptophyta; Magnoliopsida; Myrtales; Myrtaceae
Exons: 3
Source: RefSeq, a predicted model, not a curated record
AGGAGAAUGCUAAUGGUCGUCGCCGAUGGCUGUGGUCUCGCAUGAUGAGGAAGAGAGUAGAUGUGAGCCAAGGAUGACUUGCCGCCAUAUCUAUAGCCAUCGGCAGAUGUCUCAACUUCUGUCGAAACCCUUUCUGUCUUAUGAGGCAGCUUGCGAAGUGAUGCUUUCAACCGUAAUAUCAUCAUAUAUAAGGUUGGGUCAGUAUGCCCUGAUCUGGAUUUCCAUGAGCCGUCCAAUCUGGAUCCCACGGGAGCUUACCGACGAAGGGUUUCGAGAAUGAAAAAUCAUGCAAAUCAGACGUUGGACUUUACAAGCCCAAGACGAGACGAUGUCAUGUAUUUCUGAUUUUGCUGUUGUUCCCAUGUGAUGUCAUUUUCCAUCGUGCCUGAAUUACAAGUUUGCCAUUUCGUUGCCA